GGCUUCAUAGCUCAGUGGUUAGAGCACUGGUCUUGUAAACCAGUAGCCACAAGUUCAGUCCUUGCUGGGGCCU
RNAcentral lists this transfer RNA (73 nucleotides) under Ameiurus melas (black bullhead). It matches the Rfam family "tRNA". Rfam says of the family: Transfer RNA (tRNA) molecules are approximately 80 nucleotides in length. Their secondary structure includes four short double-helical elements and three loops (D, anti-codon, and T loops). Lineage: Eukaryota; Metazoa; Chordata; Actinopteri; Siluriformes; Ictaluridae. The record is from Rfam by way of RNAcentral.